Long non-coding RNA from Oncorhynchus nerka (sockeye salmon), 1412 nucleotides. RefSeq lists it as uncharacterized. The transcript is spliced from 3 exons. NCBI's taxonomy places the organism in Eukaryota, Metazoa, Chordata, Actinopteri, Salmoniformes, Salmonidae. The record is from RefSeq and is a predicted model, not a curated record.
UCCAAAAUGUUUACUAUUUCUUACAGAUAAAGGGUCCGGUUAGCCCUGACCAUUAUCCGUUUCCAAUUCACCAACUCAAAGACGCCCGCUCCAUCAUAACUCCGAGACCAAGGGAUCGCAAAGAGUGACGUUCCGGGCUGGUGAUAGUUCCUUUGGACAAUCUUGCAAACAAAUGUGGCCACACAACUAUUAAAAGAAAAAAAAGGGUUACAUUUUCUCUGGUCAAAAUGUAAUUGGAGACUGCGGUACUGAGGAAAGCAGUUAGAGAUAUUCGGCCACUUUAAAAGUCUUAGUAUCUGGAUAAGGCUAUAACUGGAGUUCCGGAUAAGUGAGGCCAGCUCCUGUGUGUUCUUGGCCUAUGGUUCACUAGUAACCAAUACACCUUAUACCGUGAAUGAAUAUGCGAUAGUGGAUUUCCUUUGGAAGGGUUUUUUCAAUUCAGUUUCAAAUUGGGUAUGCAGAAGGAUGGAAAUGUUUUUGAAAAUGUAUUUAAGUUGUUUCUAAAGAAAAGGGAGUGGAAACAUUAUAAUGGUGUCAAAUGCCCUGAACCCUAAGAAUUUCCCGUGAAGACUGAUCAACUUCACUAGAAAUUGUUGGAACAGGUGGGAUUUAAUUAUAAAAUGAUUGAGAAACACCAGUCUCUAUUCAAAGUGUACAAUCACUUUGAAAUUCUAUUAUUUCCUUGGGAAAAUGAUGAAGAGUUGUAGUCUUAAAUAGUCUAGUUAUUCAAAUAGGUUUAUUUUUUAUUUAACAUGGGUUCAUAGGAGAAAUUAUCAGUUCCCUGGGGUUAUGGUCUUUGGGUAAAUACACAAAUGUGCUUUGUUCAUUCUGCAUAUGAAAGGGAAAUAUAUGUUAACAAGGGAUGAGUUACUCCAAAUGGUUUAUUGGAGUGGGGGUCUCUGCGAGGGUUAUUUUGAUAACUACAUAAUCUGUAACUCGUCUGAGAGACCGCUAGUAGAUUAAGGGAGUUAUCAUGGAAGGUGACGUCAGAAUGCUUUAAUGCUUGGGAGAGAUUAUCACCACAACAAGUGUGUGUGAAACUCAAACCCACCCUACUGGCUGAAUAGUGAGGGACAACUGUGUCUGAUGACCUGUGAACUGUAUCUAAAAUAGACAUGCGGGAAUGAUAUGUGCUGGGAGAAGAAAGCCUAAAGGGGAUUGGGGUAAUGACCUUUUAUUACCAGGCCACUCAUGACAGAAAAACAGAGACAAAAGGGCGUAUUGGAAAAUAGAUAUUACUGGUACUAAAAGUUUUUAGUAUAAUGUUAAUUAUUAAAGGGAUGAUGCAUUGAAUUGAGAAGGUCAAAUUUGAGUUAAAGUAAGCACUAAGGACUGUUAUCCUGAAUAUUGGGUUGGACAAUUUAUAAACAUUUAGUUAUGAUUUAGAUAUAGGACUGUUUAAAUCUACUAGG